AUUGAACGCUGGCGGCAGACCUAACACAUGCAAGUCGAGCGGAUGAAGGGAGCUCGCUCCUGGAUUCAGCGGCGGACGGGUGAGUAAUGCCUAGGAAUCUGCCUGGUAGUGGGGGAUAACGUCCGGUAACGGGCGCUAAUACCGCAUACGUCCUGAGGGAGAAAGUGGGGGAUCUUCGGACCUCACGCUAUCAGAUGAGACUAGGUCGGAUUAGCUAGUUGGUGGGGUAAAGGCCUACCAAGGCGACGAUCCGUAACUGGUCUGAGAGGAUGAUCAGUCACACUGGAACUGAGACACGGUCCAGACUCCUACGGGAGGCAGCAGUGGGGAAUAUUGGGCAAUGGGCGAAAGCCUGAUCCAGCCAUGCCGCGUGUGUGAAGAAGGUCUUCGGAUUGUAAAGCACUUUAAGUUGGGAGGAAGGACAGUAAGUUAAUACCUUGCUGUUUUGACGUUACCAACAGAAUAAGCACCGGCUAACUUCGUG
This 484-nucleotide ribosomal RNA is filed under the name uncultured bacterium. RNAcentral describes it as "partial 16S ribosomal RNA". It matches the Rfam family "Bacterial small subunit ribosomal RNA", at positions 30 to 507 of the family's 1533-position model. The record is from RNAcentral.